Piliocolobus tephrosceles (Ugandan red Colobus) is the source of this 2561-nucleotide long non-coding RNA. RefSeq lists it as uncharacterized. The record is from RefSeq and is a predicted model, not a curated record. NCBI's taxonomy places the organism in Eukaryota, Metazoa, Chordata, Mammalia, Primates, Cercopithecidae. The transcript is spliced from 4 exons.
AUUUGAACAGGCACUGAAGGUUGUGAGGUCAUAGACAGUGGUUGCCAGGGGAAGAGCAUUACAGUCAGAGAGAAUAGCAAGUGCAAAAGCUUGGAAGAAGAAAUGCGCUCACAGCACCUGUACAAGGAAGAAGCCCAACAUUUGAUAGGUCUCUGGAUCUUGGAAGCAACAUCCGUCACAUUUGGUUGCCUAUUCUGACUCAAUAACUGGAUAACUCACAAACCUAUCAUCUUUGAGUGGGCCCCUGAGCAAGCAAGGGAUAUUUAGCUUGUCUAGGUUACAGUGCAAGCAGCAUGGACCUUGGCUUUUAGGAUCCAGCGUAUCCUAAGAGCCCAAAACUGUUAUGGCUGGUCAGGAUGUUGUGUAAGGGCUACAGCAAGGCUCUACAGGAGAAUCACAGUUGAGAACCAUAAAAUUUUGGAGCAAAACUAUGUUCUCUUCAAGUAACUUUUCUUUUUCACUGAACACUUGAACAUGGCCCAUCAGAGACCUGAGCUGUUCCCCAUGAACUGGAAGCUGUCUGAUCCACUAAGCAAAAAUUCACAAUAUAUUGAGGAUUAUUCCAUCAUUAAGUGGAAGUGAUUUACAGGAGGUCUCGCUCCAGAAUGGUCUGAAAGCAAUGAGCUGAUCUCUCCAGCUGAGUUAUCUGGGUGUUGUGUCUUCACCUCAGAGUAGACAACUGAGACAUCCUGGAAUGGAAGAAAGAAGUGGAAACCAAGAAUGAGUGUGAGGCUACAGAUGACUGUGUUGAAUGCCUACGCCUGUAGACCAUGUCCUUGCAAGUGACCGAAAUCAUUAUCAAUCAGGUAAAACUGGAUGGGAGGAGCUGUGGGAGCUUGAUGCCAAUCAGAGGGAAACCUAGCAAUGAGGAAGGGGCACCUAACAACAGGUGGGGAUAAAAAGCAUCAAGUCGGAGAUUUCCCACCUCUGAGCUCCUCUGAUGGCACUUUUGUCCUCAGCACAGUUAUGUGUGUGUAACUUCUCCCUUAUGAGGCUAUAAAGCCCUGCAGGGCAGGAUCUGAGACAGUUUCAUUUUUGUACUCCCUAAAACUAACUCAUUUUCUUGACCAUGUAAGUGUGUGGGGAUGUCAAUUAAUAUUAACCAUUUAAACUCAAGUUUCAAUCAUAGUUUGAAAAACACUUGUAGACAUUGGAGGGAAAAUGUGAAACUAAAGGAGCUGGGAUCGAGGGUUAGAGAGAAGUGAAAGACCCCAGUUCGUGGAACCUCCAGGGAGCUAAGAUAAACCGAAACCCUUUAUAAAGUUUCAACUAAUUCACCUUCUUUCUUACCUGAAGAAAAGAGCAAGCGCACAGGGUUACUUCGCGGGGAGCCCUGGGCCUGGCAUCUGUACCGUCCAGAUUCCCGAACCUCGAGGGUGUUUCCUGGGGUUACGGUCAACUUUUCUCUCCAAUAGUGCAGAUGAUACCAUGUUGUUUUCUCUGUUGCAUAGAACUGAAAUCCAUUGCAAGUCAGAGUCACUCUCUCUCCUUUGAAGAAUGUGGUCCAUGGAGGAUGGACGGAAAUCACAGGUUUGUGUGCAGCUGCUGAGGAGGAAAGAGUAGUAGACCUGAGGUGGAGGUGCCUGCAGUCCCAGCUGCAGUGGCUUGUGUAGGUUACACUGGAGGACAUGGCUUGGGAGUUCCCUAAGAGGCCCCUGGAUGACUUCUGUUUCCCCAGGUUGCAGGUGAGCUGUGCUCACCUCCUCCAGGGUGCAGUGGCUGCUCAGCGGUCUAUAGCAGCAGAUUGGCCUUUCAGAGGGAGGGCAGCCCUGGCAGGAUCCACUCAGCAGUGAUAGAUAAUGGGAGGCUCACAAACCCUCUCACUUGUUUCAGUGAACCAAGUCCUCAGGUAGAUAGUUGGAAAUUGCGUUUCUCCUGGACUCUCACCUGAGAUCUUGGUGUUAUAGGGACCUCUUUAAGAUGAGUUCUUGUGUGUGAAGGGUACGAGAAAAUGCCAUCUCCAGGUUUGUCUCUUUGGCAUAUGGAUUAUUUUGAGCCAAAGGCCAUUGAGAAUCACCAGAAAUAGGAAAAGUUCUAAAAGCAAGGCACAAGUUUUCCUUUAUAAGCGAAAAGGGAAGUUUUCCCUUAUAAAGGAGAUUUCCUUUUGUAAAUGUGUCUCCCUCUCCCACACUAGGAAGAGGAAGACUCUUAACAACUUUCAUCGAUAGAGAAGGCAUUGACUUAAAUACGCAUAAAAACCCUUGUUUACCAUGUUUUUCCUAGUCAACCUGCCACAGCCUGCCUCUCCCACCCAGAAGCCCAAAACUCCUUUUCCUUUGUUUAGUCCAAGAUGAUAUACAGGUUGAGUAUACCUUAUUCAAAACACUUUGGAACAGAAGGGUUUUGGAGUUUGAGUUUUUUUCAGAUUUUGGAACAUAUGCAUAAACCAAAAAUCUGAAAUAUGAAAUGCUCCAAUGAGCAUUUCUUUUGAUCAUCAUGUCAGUGCUUAAAAACUUUCAGAUUCUGGAUUUCAGAUAUUUGGAAGAGGGAUAGUCAACCUGUGUAAAUCUCAAUCAUCUGGCUGCCUCCUUCAGCCAUUUUUUUCUUUGUAAAUUCCCCUG